ACCAGACUCCUACGGGAGGCAGCAGUGGGGGAUAUUGCACAAUGGGGGAAACCCUGAUGCAGCGACGCCGCGUGAGUGAAGAAGUAUUUCGGUAUGUAAAGCUCUAUCAGCAGGGAAGAAAAUGACAGUACCUGACCAAGAAGCCCCGGCUAACUACGUGCCAGCAGCCGCGGUAAUACGGAGGAUGCGAGCGUUAUCCGGAUUUAUUGGGUUUAAAGGGGGCGUAGGCGGAUUUUUAAGUCAGCGGUAAAUGCCCGGGCUCAACCCGGGCCGGCCGUUGAAACUGGGGAUCUUGAGUGGGCGAGAAGUAUGCGGAAUGCGUGGUGUAGCGGUGAAAUGCAUAGAUAUCACGCAGAACUCCGAUUGCGAAGGCAGCAUACCGGCGCCCGACUGACGCUGAGGCACGAAAGCGUGGGGAUCGAACAGGAUUAGAUACCCCCGUAAA
This 445-nucleotide ribosomal RNA is filed under the name uncultured bacterium. RNAcentral's name for it is "bacterial SSU rRNA". It matches the Rfam family "Bacterial small subunit ribosomal RNA", at positions 330 to 794 of the family's 1533-position model. The record is from RNAcentral.